CAACCUCAACUCAUAUGGGACUACCCCCUGAAUUUAAGCAUAUUAAUUAGGGGAGGAAAAGAAACUAACAAGGAUUUUCUUAGUAGCGGCGAGCGAAAAGAAAACAGUUCAGCACUAAGUCACUUUGUCUAUAUGGCAAAUGUGAGAUGCAGUGUAUGGAGCGUCAAUAUUCUAGUAUGAGAAAUUAAUGAUUUAAGUCCUUCUUAAAUGAGGCCAUUUACCCAUAGAGGGUGCCAGGCCCGUAUAACGUUAAUGAUUGCUAGAUGAUGUUUCCAAAGAGUCGUGUUGCUUGAUAGUGCAGCACUAAGUGGGUGGUAAACUCCAUCUAAAACUAAAUAUAACCAUGAGACCGAUAGUAAACAAGUACCGUGAGGGAAAGUUGAAAAGAACUCUGAAUAGAGAGUUAAACAGUACGUGAAACUGCUUAGAGGUUAAGCCCGAUGAACCUGAAUAUCCGUUAUGGAAAAUUCAUCAUUAAAAUUGUAAUAUUUAAAUAAUAUUAUUAAGAAUAAUGUGAAUUUUUUCCAUAUAAGGACAUUGUAAUCUAUUAGCAUAUCCCAAAUUUAUCAUAAAAUAUAACUUAUAGUUUAUUCCAAUUAAAUUGCUUGCAUUUUAACACAGAAUAAAUGUUAUUAAUUUGAUAAAGUGCUGAUAGAUUUAUAUUAUUACAGAGCGUUAAUUUUUCGGAAUUAUAUAAUGGCAUAAUUAUCAUUGAUUUUUGUGUUUAUUAUAUGCUCUUGUAUGAUUAACAAUGCGAAAGAUUCAGGAUACCUUCGGGACCCGUCUUGAAACACGGACCAAGGAGUCUAACAUAUGUGCAAGUUAUUGGGAUGUAAACCUAAUAGCGUAACUACUGACUAAUAUGGAUAGUUUUUUAGCUAUUUAUAGCUAAUUACACAAUUCACGGGGGCGUUCUAUA
RNAcentral lists this non-coding RNA (919 nucleotides) under Drosophila sechellia. RNAcentral describes it as "Eukaryotic large subunit ribosomal RNA". It matches the Rfam family "Eukaryotic large subunit ribosomal RNA", at positions 1 to 787 of the family's 3401-position model. The record is from Rfam by way of RNAcentral. Lineage: Eukaryota; Metazoa; Arthropoda; Insecta; Diptera; Drosophilidae.